This is a long non-coding RNA of Vitis riparia (riverbank grape), 212 nucleotides long. RefSeq lists it as uncharacterized. The transcript has 3 exons. NCBI's taxonomy places the organism in Eukaryota, Viridiplantae, Streptophyta, Magnoliopsida, Vitales, Vitaceae. The record is from RefSeq and is a predicted model, not a curated record.
UAGACGUCCUACUUGCACAGACGAUAUCAUCUCUCUUAAUGCUAGUGAUGUUUGGAAGGGGAGCACCACUUAUAUAGGAAAGUUGAGUUCCACUUUAUUUGCUGAGAGACUUAUUGCCUUUGCAUGUGUUGAAGGAAUCUUUUUCUCAGGAAGCUUUUGUGCCAUUUUUUGGCUUAAAAAGAGAGGAUUGAUGCCAGGUUUGAGUUUCUCAA